CUAUCAACCACUCAGCCAUCUCUCCCGGAGUUC
This 33-nucleotide transfer RNA is filed under the name Curcuma amarissima. RNAcentral describes it as "partial tRNA-Ser". Lineage: Eukaryota; Viridiplantae; Streptophyta; Magnoliopsida; Zingiberales; Zingiberaceae. RNAcentral also lists the same sequence under 8 other names. The record is from RNAcentral.